RNAcentral lists this ribosomal RNA (254 nucleotides) under uncultured bacterium. Its description in RNAcentral is "partial 16S ribosomal RNA". It matches the Rfam family "Bacterial small subunit ribosomal RNA", at positions 524 to 776 of the family's 1533-position model. The record is from RNAcentral.
UACGUAGGGUGCGAGCGUUAAUCGGAAUUACUGGGCGUAAAGCGUGCGCAGGCGGUUUGUUAAGACAGGUGUGAAAUCCCCCGGGCUUACCUGGGAACUGCAUUUGUGACUGCAUAGCUAGAGUACGGUAGAGGGGGAUGGAAUUCCGCGUGUAGCAGUGAAAUGCGUAGAUAUGCGGAGGAACACCGAUGGCGAAGGCAGAUCUCUGGGCCGUAACUGACGCUUGAGGAGCGAAAGCGUGGGGAGCGAACAGG